GAUGAACGCUGGCGGCGUGCCUAAUACAUGCAAGUCGAGCGAACGGACGAGAAGCUUGCUUCUCUGAUGUUAGCGGCGGACGGGUGAGUAACACGUGGAUAACCUACCUAUAAGACUGGGAUAACUUCGGGAAACCGGAGCUAAUACCGGAUAAUAUUUUGAACCGCAUGGUUCAAAAGUGAAAGACGGUCUUGCUGUCACUUAUAGAUGGAUCCGCGCUGCAUUAGCUAGUUGGUAAGGUAACGGCUUACCAAGGCAACGAUGCAUAGCCGACCUGAGAGGGUGAUCGGCCACACUGGAACUGAGACACGGUCCAGACUCCUACGGGAGGCAGCAGUAGGGAAUCUUCCGCAAUGGGCGAAAGCCUGACGGAGCAACGCCGCGUGAGUGAUGACGGUCUUCGGAUCGUAAAACUCUGUUAUUAGGGAAGAACAUAUGUGUAAGUAACUGUGCACAUCUUGACGGUAACUAAUCAGAAAGCCACGGCUAACUACGUG
RNAcentral lists this ribosomal RNA (497 nucleotides) under uncultured bacterium. Its description in RNAcentral is "partial 16S ribosomal RNA". It matches the Rfam family "Bacterial small subunit ribosomal RNA", at positions 28 to 507 of the family's 1533-position model. The record is from RNAcentral.